GACGAACGCUGGCGGCGUGCUUAACACAUGCAAGUCGAACGGAAAGGCCCUGCUUUUGUGGGGUGCUCGAGUGGCGAACGGGUGAGUAACACGUGAGUAACCUGCCCUUGACUUUGGGAUAACUUCAGGAAACUGGGGCUAAUACCGGAUAGGAGCUCCUGCUGCAUGGUGGGGGUUGGAAAGUUUCGGCGGUUGGGGAUGGACUCGCGGCUUAUCAGCUUGUUGGUGGGGUAGUGGCUUACCAAGGCUUUGACGGGUAGCCGGCCUGAGAGGGUGACCGGAAAAAUGGGGAAGGGGGAAAGGGCAGAAGGACGAGGGGGGGAAAGGGGGGGGAAGAUUAAAAAAGGGGGGGAAGCAGUAGGAAGAAACGGCGGGGGGGGGAGGACGGCUUUGGGGUUGGAAACCGCUUGAGCCUGGGAAGAAGGGGAAGGGAGGGGAAUGGGGAAAGAAGCAAGGGCAAACUACGU
This 467-nucleotide ribosomal RNA is filed under the name uncultured bacterium. RNAcentral's name for it is "partial 16S ribosomal RNA". It matches the Rfam family "Bacterial small subunit ribosomal RNA", at positions 28 to 506 of the family's 1533-position model. The record is from RNAcentral.